RNAcentral lists this ribosomal RNA (421 nucleotides) under Micrococcineae bacterium IGS126. Its description in RNAcentral is "bacterial SSU rRNA". It matches the Rfam family "Bacterial small subunit ribosomal RNA", at positions 41 to 473 of the family's 1533-position model. Lineage: Bacteria; Bacillati; Actinomycetota; Actinomycetes; Micrococcales. The record is from RNAcentral.
GGCGUGCUUAACACAUGCAAGUCGAACGAUGACCCGGUGCUUGCACCGGUGAUUAGUGGCGAACGGGUGAGUAACACGUGAGUAACCUGCCCUUAACUCUGGGAUAAGCCUGGGAAACUGGGUCUAAUACCGGAUAUGACUCCUCAUCGCAUGGUGGGGGGUGGAAAGCUUUUUUGUGGUUUUGGAUGGACUCGCGGCCUAUCAGCUUGUUGGUGAGGUAAUGGCUCACCAAGGCGACGACGGGUAGCCGGCCUGAGAGGGUGACCGGCCACACUGGGACUGAGACACGGCCCAGACUCCUACGGGAGGCAGCAGUGGGGAAUAUUGCACAAUGGGCGCAAGCCUGAUGCAGCGACGCCGCGUGAGGGAUGACGGCCUUCGGGUUGUAAACCUCUUUCAGUAGGGAAGAAGCGAAAGUGAC